AAUCAACGCUGGCGGCGUGCCUCAGACAUGCAAGUCGAACGCGAAAGUCCCCUUCGGGGGACAAGUAGAGUGGCGCACGGGUGAGUAACACGUAGGUAAUCUACCUUCGGGAUGGGGAAUAACAAUCGGAAACGGUUGCUAAUAACCGCAUAAUGCAGCGGCACCUAAUGGUGACAGUUGUUAAAGCGGGGGAUCGAAAGGACCUCGCGUCUGAAGAGGAGCCUGCGGCGGAUUAGCUAGUGGU
This 244-nucleotide ribosomal RNA is filed under the name uncultured bacterium. Its description in RNAcentral is "partial 16S ribosomal RNA". It matches the Rfam family "Bacterial small subunit ribosomal RNA", at positions 32 to 252 of the family's 1533-position model. The record is from RNAcentral.